RNAcentral lists this long non-coding RNA (265 nucleotides) under Capsella rubella. RNAcentral's name for it is "long non-coding RNA (CRUB_LNC004061)". The record is from RNAcentral. Lineage: Eukaryota; Viridiplantae; Streptophyta; Magnoliopsida; Brassicales; Brassicaceae.
AACAAUAAGGGAUGGUCAUCGGUGAAUGAAGGAGACAUGUUCGGUAAUCUGAGAAUGAAGUCAUGAAGGUAGGAUCGUGGGCAAGGUGAUUCGGAUGGAUCAGGAGCGAUUCCGACACUCCGAUUCAUUAAGGUACAUAAUGAGGUAAAUGUACUCUUAAUGUUGAUGUUAUGGCUUUAUUAUGUUUAUGAACGUGUUCAGUAUGGUAUUGGCAUGUUUUUAAGUAUGUUUUUGUUAAGUUGAUUUCUCGCCGGAAGUCUCGUCG